UAAAACGUAGGUGACGAGCGUUAUCCGGAUUUACUGGGCGUAAAGCGCUUGUAGGUGGCUUUGUAAGUUGGACGUGAAAUCUCCGGGCUUAACUCGGAGAGGCCGUUCAAUACUGCGAGGCUUGAGGAUGUCAGAGGGAAGUGGAAUUCCUGGUGUAGUGGUGAAAUGCGUAGAUAUCAGGAGGAACACCCGUGGCGAAAGCGGCUUCCUGGGGCAUUCCUGACACUGAGAAGCGAAAGCUAGGGGAGCAAACAGGAUUAGAAACCCUGGUAGUCCUAGCCGUAAACGAUGGAUGCUGGGUGUUGGCGGAUCUAACCCCGUCAGUGCCGAAGCUAACGCGUUAAGCAUCCCGCCUGGGAACUACGAUCGCAAGAUUA
Molecule: ribosomal RNA, 377 nt
Filed under: uncultured bacterium
Lineage: Bacteria
Description: bacterial SSU rRNA
Rfam family: Bacterial small subunit ribosomal RNA
Source: RNAcentral